This 1346-nucleotide long non-coding RNA is filed under the name Heterocephalus glaber (naked mole-rat). RNAcentral describes it as "lncRNA (ENSHGLG00000032580.1)". The stretch from base 998 to 1069 matches the Rfam family "tRNA". Lineage: Eukaryota; Metazoa; Chordata; Mammalia; Rodentia; Bathyergidae. The record is from RNAcentral.
CUGCUCUCUGAGGUCCACUUGGGACCCAUGCUCUGCAAUUUCCAGAAACGGCCUCUUCUUGAGACUGUCAGGAGACAACUUGGCAUGAUAGAAGAUGGGCAUUUAAGAACUCAACCUGAAUUCAUACCACUGACUUAAAACUUGCUACCUGGGUGACCUUGGGAAAAUUUCUUGUCAACUCUGGCUAGAACUUGCAUGGCAGGAGACUUGCUCCGCGAGGGCUCUGUCUGCUCUUCUUGCUGCUGGCACAAAGUAUUUGGUGAAGGAAUGAAUGAAUGACCAAGUGAAUGGAGCAGAAGGAAGAGGCAAUGUCCCUUCUCAGUCAGUCUGGGGACAGAAAGUGUGGAAUCGCGGUUGGAAGUGGGAAGCACAGCAAGGAUCCAUGUCUCCAGCUUCGCCCCGCCCAGGACAUCCACAUGGCACUGUUUUCUCGGUGGAAAAACCCUGGUAAUGGGAAGGCUCUGGGGAUUUCAGGGAAUGACCAUGUUUUCAGGAGGAAACCGCAGCCUGCAUCAUCUUCGUUUGGCUGGGCCCUCCUCCGCAAAGUCCUCUAAGAUGUCCCACAGUCACUGAGCUCACCGUUGUCCUCCAUCCCAGCAGGAGCAGCCAUCUGCCUCUUCAAGGAGGCUGUGCCCCUGAGGGUCUGGGUCUCACCCAGGCUUGGCCGCCCGCCCUCCACUAUGCCUUCACUACCGCCUCCACUGAAGACGUGGAGCCCAAGCCAGGCACUAUCUCACUCCCUGCUCACAAUAUUCCUGGGUGAAGCACACUAUCACUAGUCCUAUUUUAGAUCUGAGGGGACAGAGGAUCAGAGGGGCCAAGAACUUAGGCGCAAAUCCCACAGCUGAUGGGUCUGAUUCCAGAAGCUUUGCCAUUAAAGGUAUUACCCUGUUCCCUGCGUCCCAUGUAGGGGCCAAGAGCUGGAGGUGGAGCCCCCUGGAGGUCUGUCAUAGUCACUACAGAACCUCAGCUUCAUUUAAGUCACGGUUAAGGGGCUGGAGGUGUAGCUCAGUGGUAGAGUGCUUGCCUAGCAUUUGCAUGGCCCUGGGUUCCAUCCCCAGCACUGCAAAAAAACAGAACACAACCCAAACAACAACAACAGCAAUAACAUCAUGGAUUAAUAGACAUUUGCUGAGUGCCUACUACAAGAGUUCUUGGAUUGGGUUCAGGGUCAAAGUUUGAUGGAAAGGACAGAGCCGGCAGGACACCCUCGAAGCUGGAGGCUCCCUGCUCCUCCCACCUCCUCCCUGCUGUGCUCCUGUAAUGACAUCACCCUCACAAGCCAGCUAUCUUUCUUUAUUUUUAAAAAGAUGGAUUCUUUUGUGCCUAAACUUGUCUUAAAUUAC